ACUGAAAAUUGCAUUAAAUGCAAAUUUGAUGCUGCUAAUUGCUGCAAUUAUACAAAAUGCAGAGGGGCGCAAAUACUGAAGAUAGUGAAAUUGCAUUAACUGCAAGCUGACUAGCAGAGCUGCUGCCAUACAAAGUGUAGAGGGGCGCAAAACUGGAAAUAGCAGAAUUGCAUUAAUUGCAAGAUGACUAGCAGAGUACAUCAACCACAGCAAGGAGGAUUAGCUAAGUGGACUCUACAGCCAAUAGGCCACAUAAUUAAGUUAGUUUUAAGUUAAUUCGAAAUGUGCAUUUAGGCGCAAGCGCUGUCAUAUAAGUUCGCUGCAUAUAUGUAUAUAUGUGCCGUAAAUAAA
RNAcentral lists this small RNA (351 nucleotides) under Drosophila mojavensis. RNAcentral's name for it is "GI26414". The record is from RNAcentral. Lineage: Eukaryota; Metazoa; Arthropoda; Insecta; Diptera; Drosophilidae.